ACUACAAGUUACCAGAAUGCACUUUAAGGCUUCUCUUCAACAUAUCUGAAUGCCCGGCAUCAUUACUCUUGUGCUGAAUACCUUCCAGGACCCCUCCUGCUGCCCAUCCUGUGGACCCACCUGCACAGCAAGGCAUGGAGCUCAUGGACCUGAGGCUGAACUGCAUGUGAACUUGUCCUGUGUGAAUGCAGAAAUUUGUCUGUUAAAAAUUAUUCCAAUUAAAGAAGCUUAAAAUUAUAAGCAGAAGUUCUCUCUUGUCAGAUAUAUACUCAGUGAUUCACACAUACAAUUAUAAACACACCACUUUUUAAAGUGUCAGAAUGCCUGUGCGUUGUAGGGCACGAACCUGUGGCUAUUCUAUGAAUAAGUACAUCAGUGUCUUUGAGUCUCAUGUCUUAUGCAUCUUAACAUAAGGGUGUCCGUCUUUGUAUAUCUGAUUUAUCAUGUCCUU
Molecule: long non-coding RNA, 451 nt
Filed under: Heterocephalus glaber (naked mole-rat)
Lineage: Eukaryota; Metazoa; Chordata; Mammalia; Rodentia; Bathyergidae
Description: lncRNA (ENSHGLG00000038507.1)
Source: RNAcentral